RNAcentral lists this ribosomal RNA (253 nucleotides) under uncultured bacterium. RNAcentral's name for it is "partial 16S ribosomal RNA". It matches the Rfam family "Bacterial small subunit ribosomal RNA", at positions 524 to 776 of the family's 1533-position model. The record is from RNAcentral.
UACGGAGGGUGCGAACGUUAAUCGGAAUCACUGGGCGUAAAGCGCGCGUAGGCGGUCUGUUAAGCGGGAUGUGAAAUCCCCGGGCUUAACCUGGGAAUUGCAUUUCAAACUGGCCGACUAGAGUACGGUAGAGGGAGGUAGAAUUUCCUGUGUAGCGGUGAAAUGCGUAGAUAUAGGAAGGAAUACCAGUGGCGAAGGCGGCCUCCUGGAUCGAUACUGACGCUGAGGCGCGAAAGCGUGGGGAGCAAACAGG